UCGCCUGUUUAUCAAAAACAUGGUCUUUUGUUUAUAUAUAAGAUCUGGCCUGCCCAAUGAUUAAAAUUUAAUGGCUGCAGUAUUUUGACUGUACAAAGGUAGCAUAAUCAUUUGUCUUUUAAUUGAGGUCUAGUAUGAAGGGUUGGAUGAAAAAUUUACUUUCUUUAUUUUAUAUUAAAAAAAUUAAUUUCUAAUUAAAAAAGAUUAGAUAAUUUUAUAGGACGAGAAGACCCUAUAGAGCUUUAUUAAUAAAAUAUUAUUUUUGCUUGUUAAUGACUAAAAUGUAUAUUGAUUAUUAAUUAUGUUGGGGUGACAAAAAAAAUUUAAUAACUUUUUUUAUUAUAUCAUUUAUAUAUGAAUAUAUGAUCCUUUAAUAAGGAAUUAAGAUUAAGCUACCUUAGGGAUAACAGCGUUAUUAUUUUAGAGAGUUCUAAUUGAAAAAAUAGUUUGCGACCUCGAUGUUGGAUUAAAAUAAGUUUCAGGAGCAAAAAAUUGAAAAUCUAGGUCUGUUCGACCUUUAAAUUUUUACAUGAUCUGAGUUCAAACCGGAGA
This 552-nucleotide ribosomal RNA is filed under the name Spanagonicus albofasciatus. RNAcentral's name for it is "partial 16S ribosomal RNA". It matches the Rfam family "Bacterial large subunit ribosomal RNA", at positions 1796 to 2622 of the family's 2925-position model. Lineage: Eukaryota; Metazoa; Arthropoda; Insecta; Hemiptera; Miridae. The record is from RNAcentral.